Long non-coding RNA from Herpailurus yagouaroundi (jaguarundi), 753 nucleotides. RefSeq lists it as uncharacterized. Lineage: Eukaryota; Metazoa; Chordata; Mammalia; Carnivora; Felidae. The record is from RefSeq and is a predicted model, not a curated record. The transcript is spliced from 4 exons.
CGCCCUUCUCGGAUCCUCAGUGAUUAUUACCUGUGUAUUGCCGAUUCCCUCCAGUUUCUCACCGCUCGGCUGAUACACCUGAAAUCGUUCGAGACGACGCCUGCGACUACAGUGCCUGAGAGUCCACUUUCUUUAUACUUUCACCAGCACUGGAUAGGGUAUGGCUCUCUUAUUCCACAGAAGUAAAUAAUUGCAUUUCUUCAGAUCAACUUGUAUCUAAACCUGAGCUCCCAUCCUGCCAUGCUGGUGGGUCUCAUGACUCUGAUACUCCUUUACCACCCUUGGAAUCAAAUGAGUGAAUCUAGCAGCCCAAGCACCCAGGUGCAGCCUUCCCCUUUGAGGUUUUGCCACCAUCCUGGGUUCUGUCACAGAGCAAGACAGAAGACUUAGCUGCUUACUCAACAUUUGAGCUUCAGACUUCUAAGUCUUAAGGAAUCUGUCUUCCACCUCACCUUCAAAGGCAUUUCUGUCCUUUGUUUCUCCUCCUUAUUUCAAAAGACAACAAGAGCCUAUGUUUUGCUUUUUGCCUUACAAAAAUAUGAGGGUCUGGAUACUUGCUUGAAUGGGGGCGAGGGGCAGGGGGAUACAUAGAAUUAAUAUCUCAACAAAAUAACCUGCCACAAAAAUUUAUAUCAAAUUAUAAAUGCUUUUUUUACCCUGCUUUUUUAUUUAAACAUUAUACCAUAAACAUUUCAUGCCAUGUGCUUUUGUAAUUUUUAAGUUUUCCUUUAUUAUUUUCGAGAGAGAGAGAGA